AGAGUUUGAUCCUGGCUCAGGACGAACGCUGGCGGCACGCCUAACACAUGCAAGUCGAACGGAGAUGAUUUGAGUUUACUUAGAUCAUCUUAGUGGCGGACGGGUGAGUAACACGUGAGCAACCUGCCUUUGAGAGAGGGAUAGCUUCUGGAAACGGAUGGUAAUACCUCAUAACAUACAGAUACCGCAUGGUGACUGUAUCAAAGAUUUAUCACUCAAAGAUGGGCUCGCGUCUGAUUAGAUAGUUGGUGAGGUAAUGGCCCACCAAGGCGACGAUCGGUAGCCGGACUGAGAGGUUGAACGGCCACAUUGGGACUGAGACACGGCCCAGACUCCUACGGGAGGCAGCAGUGGGGAAUAUUGCACAAUGGGGGAAACCCUGAUGCAGCGACGCCGCGUGGAGGAAGAAGGUCUUCGGAUUGUAAACUCCUGUUGUUGAGGAAGAUAAUGACGGUACUCAACAAGGAAGUGACGGCUAACUACGUGCCAGCAGCCGCGGUAAAACGUAGGUCACAAGCGUUGUCCGGAAUUACUGGGUGUAAAGGGAGCGCAGGCGGGCGAUCAAGUUGGAAGUGAAAUCCAUGGGCUCAACCCAUGAACUGCUUUCAAAACUGAUUGUCUUGAGUAGUGCAGAGGUAGGCGGAAUUCCCGGUGUAGCGGUGGAAUGCGUAGAUAUCGGGAGGAACACCAGUGGCGAAGGCGGCCUACUGGGCACCAACUGACGCUGAGGCUCGAAAGUGUGGUAGCAAACAGGAUUAGAUACCCUGGUAGUCCACACCGUAAACGAUGAUUACUAGGUGUUGGAGGAUUGACCCUUUCAGUGCCGCAGUUAACACAAUAAGUAAUCCACCUGGGGAGUACGACCGCAAGGUUGAAACUCAAAGGAAUUGACGGGGGCCCGCACAAGCAGUGGAGUAUGUGGUUUAAUUCGACGCAACGCGAAGAACCUUACCAAGUCUUGACAUCCUGCGACGAUGCUAGAAAUAGUAUUUUCCUUCGGGACGCAGAGACAGGUGGUGCAUGGUUGUCGUCAGCUCGUGUCGUGAGAUGUUGGGUUAAGUCCCGCAACGAGCGCAACCCUUAUGGUCAGUUACUACGCAAGAGGACUCUGGCCAGACUGCCGUUGACAAAACGGAGGAAGGUGGGGAUGACGUCAAAUCAUCAUGCCCUUUAUGACUUGGGCUACACACGUACUACAAUGGCGUUAAACAAAGAGAAGCAAGACCGCGAGGUGGAGCAAAACUCAGAAACAACGUCCCAGUUCGGACUGCAGGCUGCAACUCGCCUGCACAAAGUCGGAAUUGCUAGUAAUCGCAGAUCAGCAUGCUGCGGUGAAUACGUUCCCGGGCCUUGUACACACCGCCCGUCACACCAUGAGAGCCGGGGGGACCCGAAGUCGGUAGUCUAACCGCAAGGAGGACGCCGCCGAAGGUAAAACUGGUGAUUGGGGUGAAGUCGUAACAAGGUA
RNAcentral lists this ribosomal RNA (1468 nucleotides) under metagenome. RNAcentral describes it as "bacterial SSU rRNA". It matches the Rfam family "Bacterial small subunit ribosomal RNA". The record is from RNAcentral.